AGUGAACGCUGGCGGUAGGCCUAACACAUGCAAGUCGAACGGCAACACAGUAAGAUCUUGCUCUUACGGGUGGCGAGUGGCGGACGGGUGAGGAAUACAUCGGAAUCUACUUUUUCGUGGGGGAUAACGUAGGGAAACUUACGCUAAUACCGCAUACGACCUACGGGUGAAAGCAGGGGAUCUUCGGACCUUGCGCGAUUGAAUUAGCCGAUGUCGGAUUAGCUAGUUGGCGGGGUAAAGGCCCACCAAGGCGACGAUCCGUAGCUGGUCUGAGAGGAUGAUCAGCCACACUGGAACUGAGACACGGUCCAGACUCCUACGGGAGGCAGCAGUGGGGAAUAUUGGACAAUGGGCGCAAGCCUGAUCCAGCCAUACCGCGUGGGUGAAGAAGGCCUUCGGGUUGUAAAGCCCUUUUGUUGGGAAAGAAAAGCAGCAGGUUAAUACCCCGCUGUUCUGACGGUACCCAAAGAGUAAGCACCGGCUAACUUCGUG
RNAcentral lists this ribosomal RNA (492 nucleotides) under uncultured bacterium. RNAcentral's name for it is "partial 16S ribosomal RNA". It matches the Rfam family "Bacterial small subunit ribosomal RNA", at positions 29 to 507 of the family's 1533-position model. The record is from RNAcentral.